GAUGAACGCUAGCGGCAGGCCUAAUACAUGCAAGUCGAACGGGUGGUCGCAAGACCACUAGUGGCGCACGGGUGCGUAACGCGUAACCAACCUGCCCCGAUCUGGGGGAUAGCCCGCCGAAAGGCGGAUUAAUACCGCAUAUACCCGCAGCCUGCCACAAGCAACGGGGGAAGAAUUAUUUGAACGGGGUGGGGUUGCGUGACAUUAGCUAGUUGGCGGGGUAAGGGCCCACCAAGGCGACGAUGUCUAGGGGACCUGAGAGGGUGAUCCCCCACACUGGCACUGAGAUACGGGCCAGACUCCUACGGGAGGCAGCAGUAGGGAAUAUUGGGCAAUGGGCGAGAGCCUGACCCAGCCAUGCCGCGUGCCGGAUGAAGGCCUUCUGGGUUGUAAACGGCUUUUCUCAGGGAAGAAAAAGACCUUGCGAGGUACACUGACGGUACCUGAGGAAUAAGCACCGGCUAACUCCGUG
RNAcentral lists this ribosomal RNA (472 nucleotides) under uncultured bacterium. RNAcentral's name for it is "partial 16S ribosomal RNA". It matches the Rfam family "Bacterial small subunit ribosomal RNA", at positions 28 to 507 of the family's 1533-position model. The record is from RNAcentral.